RNAcentral lists this ribosomal RNA (156 nucleotides) under Triticum aestivum (bread wheat). Its description in RNAcentral is "partial small subunit ribosomal RNA". Lineage: Eukaryota; Viridiplantae; Streptophyta; Magnoliopsida; Poales; Poaceae. The record is from RNAcentral.
AUGGCAAGAAAUUGCUUCUUCUGUACCUCGAUGUCAUAUCUUCUCAGUCAACCAGGGUAUGUGGUUCAUGUAUUUGUGAUGGAAGAAACUUCUUCUACACCUACCUGCUUUCUCUGUCCUCCGAUGCCAGGCAAGGACCAGUCCAGAAGGAAGUAG